This 2411-nucleotide long non-coding RNA is filed under the name Salvia miltiorrhiza (redroot sage). RNAcentral describes it as "long non-coding RNA (SMIL_LNC002277)". Lineage: Eukaryota; Viridiplantae; Streptophyta; Magnoliopsida; Lamiales; Lamiaceae. The record is from RNAcentral.
UGCAGUGCAAUCAGAAACAUCAAGCCAUUACAGAGCAUUCCUUCUGUCUCUUUUAGGCGCCACACCCCGCUAGACAGAGGUGAGUGUAAUAAUAACCCUUUUCUUGAUCUCGUGGUUCACCAUUUGUACAGCUUAUGGGGAUGGCCAAGAUAAAGAAUUUCGUGGAAGGGUCGCCCUGCAAAUAAAGUUCCAUGAGUUGAGAGAAGAGGCUUGUUCUGUGUGUUCUUCAGUUGUCUGCUUUUGUUUGUACAUCGUUAUUUCCACGUCAAAGUUAGCAGCGUGGAAUGUUUGCUAGAUUGGUCAUAUCUUGUCGUAUUGUCUAAUUUAGUACCAAUUGUCUUUGUAGCUAUCUUAAGCUGUAUAUUGCACUAUGAUUUACCCCUUUUCAGCUUUCUAUAUUAAAGAUCUAAUGAUAAGGCUUUGAUUGUAACUUUUCGUACUUGGACCCAAUUGUUUAAAUUAAUGCAAUUAUCAAAUGUUUAAGAGGGUGUUUGGCAAGUUAUAAGGUAAGGGUGCGUUUUCUUUGGUUGUAAAUUUAUCAUGAGAAAAAUAGGGAUAAAUAAAAUUUCACCCUUCAAAUCAUUCUUUUCUUUUCUCACAUUUUCUACUUGACCCUUACUCAUUCCUCAUUUACACUACAAAUGAGGGAUAAUAUUAUUCCUCCAAAAAUAGUGUGAUAAUAUUAUCCCUCCUUUGUAGUGUAAAUGAAGAAUGAGUAAGGGUCAAGUAAGAAAUGUGGGAAAAGAAAAGAAGGAUUUAAAGGGUUAAAUUUUGUUUAUCCUUCCUUUUCCCAUGAUAAAUUUACAAUCAAAAAGAACGCACCCUUAGGAGUUUAUAAGCNAAAAAGUUACACCAAUAUAAUAACUACAAUCACACUUCAAACCCUAAUUAUACUAGCCAAAGAGAUGAAAGAGAGAUGGACAAAUAGAGAUAAAGGAGGCAGGAGCAAACAUACCUUACAAGUUGGAAGUACAAAUAGAAUAUUCUCCAUUUAAGUGCAUGUGUCUUGGCUCUAAUAAAGAAAUUGUUGCAAUUUGAAGUUAGUCUUUUAGCUUUUAGGUACUUAGUCUUUACAUGUAUACUAUUAUGUUUUACUACGUUAAUUAUAGGCUACACACACCCACAAUAAUUGUUAUUGUUAACUAUCAUUAUUAGUUGGUAUAUAUACACACACAUACUCAAAAAAUAGUGUAGACAAAUAAUAAUACAAUGAUGUAAAUAAAAUAUUCAUAAUCUAUUAAUAUAUUCAUGGCAAGGAGUAAUGCAAAGAGUUUGAGCCUAUAAUCCUUGCUUAUGUUCUUCCCUGCUCUUCUGCACUGUAGUUGCUACUGGCAUACGCUAGUUCUCCUCGGUAUGAAGGUCCGGAGGUGGACAGGGCAAUAGCAGAGCAUGAUGCUAAGUCUCUCUUUAAAGCUGGGGAGAAGAAGCUUGGAACUGAUGAAGACACUUUCAUACGCAUUUUCGCUGAGCGAAGCCGGGCACAACUGGCUGCUGUUUCUUCUGCUUACCAUAGCAUGUAUGGGAGCUCACUUAAAAAGGUACUAUUUCCUUAAAGGUUGUAAUUCUUGCGCAUAGAAACUGUAUGUUGGAUAUAUAAACAUCUUUGAAUCAUUCUGCAGGCCGUAAAAAGUGAAACGUCUGGGAACUUUGAGCUUGGUCUCUUAACUAUAUUACAGUGUGCUGAAAACCCUGGGAAGUAUUUUGCAAAGGUAAACUACGACAUUCUGUCUUAAUUACAUUCUCUCCGGGAUUAGCUACUUAUUUUUGUGUAAUGACUGCAUAUUUCACCUUGAAAUGCAGAUGCUGCACAAAGCAAUGAAGGGUAUGGGAACCGAUGACUCAACCCUUACCAGAGUGAUAGUGACAAGAGCGGAGAUUGAUCUGCAGUAUAUAAAAGCAGAGUACCAAAAGAAAUAUGGGAAGUCGCUCAACGAUGCAGUGCAAUCAGAAACAUCAAGCCAUUACAGAGCAUUCCUUCUGUCUCUUUUAGGCGCCACACCCCGCUAGACAGAGGUGAGUGUAAUAAUAGACCCUUUUCUUGAUCUCGUGGUUCACCAUUUGUACAGCUUAUGGGGAUGGCCAAGAUAAAGAAUUUCGUGGAAGGGUCGCCCUGCAAAUAAAGUUCCAUGAGUUGAGAGAAGAGGCUUGUUCUGUGUGUCCUUCAGUUGUCUGCUUUUGUUUGUACAUCGUUAUUUCCACGUCAAAGUUAGCAGCGUGGAAUGUUUGCUAGAUUGGUCAUAUCUUGUCGUAUUGUCUAAUUUAGUACCAAUUGUCUUUGUAGCUAUCUUAAGCUGUAUAUUGCACUAUGAUUUACCCCUUUUCAGCUUUCUAUAUUAAAGAUCUAAUGAUAAGGCUUUAGUAACUUUUGUCCUUUGACCCAAGUUUAAAUUAAUGCAAUUAUCAUAUGUUUA